CGAAGUUGGAUGGUUAACCGACCGAGCCACCCAGGCACCCCUGUGAGGCAUUGCGUGUGGUCCUGAGGAUGUAAAGUUGAAUAAGGAUGUUCCUGCCUUUCAAAUGCCAAUAAUCCUUGGAGAAGAUAUGCAAACAUGUGAACACUAUACCAUAUGAUAUGCAUGCCCUUCAAGUCCGUUUCUUAGCCUGUCCACAAACAGUUCUGUCAGCUGCACAGUGACCCGGAGUUCCGCAGCUCCACCCGAGUCUGGGGAAGGGGCAAAGACACCGGCUGGGCAGCUUGCUGGAGCCAGGUGCUGUCUCCUCUCUAACCACGUUGGCCAGUGUGACCCUGCACACGUGAUGUUAGGGAGUUGAGACCUGGAAAGAUGAAAAGUGAUUUUCCCGAGCGCCUAGAUCAUUGUCCUCUUCAGCAUCACAGUAGCAAACAUUUGCUUGCCUAGUGCCGACUACUGAUCUAGGCACUUCCCACGUAUUACUGUUCCUGGAGAGAGGUUGGAGCUAUGGCUGCUGGAAUAAGUUGAGAGAUACCACGAAAGAGAAGAGGAUCCCGAGAGAGUGUUGCAAGUUCUGACAGGUAGCAGCUUCACCUAUGGGGAGACAGGCUGGUUGUAAACCAGAAAACAGGUCAGGAACGCCUGAAAACUCUGCCCAUACAUUGUGAAGAACUUCCUGAGGAAGUUUCCUAAAUUGGACACCAAGUAUGAAGCGGACCCCUGGUGCCGGAUCUUGGUGUGCAAAAGAGGCAACUUGGACACAGAGACGGUGCAGAGAUGGCCAUGUGAAGACACAGACACACAAGGAGAAUGCCAUGUGAAGAAGGAGACAGAGGUCAGAAUGAUGUUUCUCUAAGCCAAGGAAUGCCAAGAAUUCCUGACCAUCACGAAGCUAGGACAGAGGCAUGGAGCAGAUUUCUCUCAGCGCCCUUCGAAGAUACAUCUUAACCGUCUAUUAUGGGUACGAAUUAUUGUCAAGAGAUGGAGAAGUAUAUAGUCUUGUGUGCCUCUUUGUCACGUGUCAAUACUGGAAAAGAAACUGAUCAUUAUUGGAAGAAGGAAGAAAAUACAGAUUUCAUGAAAAUAGUUGCUUCAACCUGUUAUGGUCAUUACAAAAAUUACACGCAUUGUACAAUGGAAUAUUAUUUGGCCCUUACAAAGAAAGGAAUCCUGCCAUUUGUGACAAAUGGGUAAAUCUGGAGAACAUUAUGCUAAAUGCGGAAACAUAAAUACUGUAUGAUCUCACUUAUCUGUAGAAUCUAAAAUAGUUGAACUCAUAGAAACACUGAGCAGAACGGUGAUUGCCAGGUAAUUGGGGGCAGAGGGGAUAGAGGAAAUGGGAGACAGUUUGGUUAAAUGUUACAAAGUUUCAGGUAUGCACGAUGAAUAAGUUCUGGAGAUCUAAGGUACAGCACAUUGACUAUAGUUAACAAUACUUCAUUUUGUACUUUUAUACCUAUAAUUUGCUAGGAGGGUAGAUGAUAAGUGUUCAUCACAAAUUAAAAAGAAGGUACCAAAUUAAUUUGUUUAAUUUAAACAAAUUAAAAGUAAUAUGUUAAUUACUUGAUUGUGGUGAUCAUUUCACAAUGUAUAUGUAUAUUAAAACAUCAAGUUGUGCACCUUACAUAUAUACAAUUUUGACUUGUCAAUUACGUCUCCGUAAAACUGAAGGGGAAAAAAAUAAUCUAACUAAUCUUCCUGCAAGCUGACUUUUUAAAGAACUCAGCUAGGGACAUCUCGCAAUAUAACAACAUCUAGGGGACUUUUUAAAAUAAACAUUUUUUAAAUUUAAAUUUUAGGUAGCCAUCAUAGAGUGCAAUAUUGGUUUCAGGAGUAGAAUUCAGUGAUUGGUCAC
This is a long non-coding RNA of Herpailurus yagouaroundi (jaguarundi), 1852 nucleotides long. RefSeq lists it as uncharacterized. The transcript is spliced from 10 exons. Lineage: Eukaryota; Metazoa; Chordata; Mammalia; Carnivora; Felidae. The record is from RefSeq and is a predicted model, not a curated record.